This is a non-coding RNA of Manis javanica (Malayan pangolin), 579 nucleotides long. NCBI's taxonomy places the organism in Eukaryota, Metazoa, Chordata, Mammalia, Pholidota, Manidae. The record is from RefSeq and is a predicted model, not a curated record.
GCUUGGGACUUUUCUGCAGCAAUUUUUCUGCCUCUUUCUUUGAACAGUAACUGACAAUAAAUGAAUUUGUUUUCACUCUACCUGGACUGAAUAGAUUGGCACCAAAGACGAGGAAAUGGAUGAGACAGAUGAGUCCAUUUCUGCUCAGCUUCACAAGGCAAUUAAAACCCAGGCCAGGAGCUGGGAGAAGAGGCACACAUAAUUCUCCAAAUUCCAGGAGGUCUGCAAACAACCUUAAAGGAAAAGGUAAUGAAGUGGUUUUCCCUAAAGUGCACAGGUACAGGUACCAGUCAAGUGGGAAGUCAUCCUAGCUCCUCUGAGCUCCUACUGUGCCAGCAUGGAAGAGUGCACGGCACCAAAGAGUCGCCCUCUUACCUGCCUAUCACACACAGCUGGUUCUGGGUUCCAGCUCCUUUGGGCUAAAAGACAGGACUUUGUGAGAGACUGGAUGUGGGAGAGAGAGACAAUGAAGACAAAACUAAGGAUUCUGGUCUGAAGAGGUGGUGACUUCCUACAAUCACUCGCUCUUUGUUAAUUCAGGGGCCCCUCUUCAGUUUCUCCAAUGCCUGUGUAAACAAC